CCUACGGGUGGCAGCAGUAGGGAAUAUUGCUCAAUGGGGGAAACCCUGAAGCAGCAACGCCGCGUGGAGGAUGAAGGUUUUCGGAUUGUAAACUCCUUUUGUUAGAGAAGAUAAUGACGGUCUCUGACGAAUAAGCACCGGAUAACUCCGUGCCAGCAGCCGCGGUAAUACGGCGGGUGCAAGCGUCACUCGGAAUCACUGGGCGUAAAGAGCGCGUAGGCGGGAUAGCAAGUCAGAUGUGAAAUCCUAUGGCUUAACCAUAGAACUGCAUUUGAAACUGUUAUGCUAGAGUAUGGGAGAGGUAGGUGGAAUGCUUGGUGUAGGGGUAAAAUCCGUAGAGAUCAAGAGGAAUACUCAUUGCGAAGGCGACCUGCUAGAACAUAACUGACGCUCAUGCACGAAAGUGUGGGUAUCGAACAGGAUUAGAUACCCGUGUAGUC
RNAcentral lists this ribosomal RNA (440 nucleotides) under uncultured bacterium. RNAcentral describes it as "partial 16S ribosomal RNA". It matches the Rfam family "Bacterial small subunit ribosomal RNA", at positions 338 to 795 of the family's 1533-position model. The record is from RNAcentral.